CCUACAUACUAGGAAUCAAACAAAGUAGUCCAAGGAAUUAGAGAGAGCUCAAUUACUAAAACUAAGUUGUCACCUAAGAGUAAAUUAGGUAAUGAUAAAAAAAAUUGGCUAAGCGCAUAUAAUAAUAAAAGUUAAUAACCUUCCUCCUCAAGAUACAAAAAAUGACCGUUGUAGAGUAGACGCUCUUAAUAACCGCGUUACACAGACUGUCACAAACAACUCACAACUUAAACCACCGCCUCAUACUCAUAACUCAUAACUCAUAAAUCUAAAUCACCCUUCAUCAAGAAUUUGCUCUCUGCGAUUGUGCUAAAACCUAAUGAAAAACCCCCCAUUCAUUUUCUCCUUAAAUUCAUGCUUUAGAAUAUAUUCGGCGACAAAUCAAAAUUUCGCUCCUUUUCCAACCAUUCUGAAUUUAGGAUGGAAUGUGAAGUUCUAGAAUUCGAUUUCUAGGGUUCCACAUUCCGUAAUUGAAUUCGUAUAAUUCAAAUGAGUGGUAAUCGAUUUCGGAAUUUUGAUUUAUCACCUUUUCAAGAUAGAAUAUUGUAGAGAUUUAGGUAUUUUAUGAAUUUCGUUGAACAUUUCAAGUUCUCCCCAAUAAUUCAUGAUAUUGAAGUGUGAAGAACGAGAUUCUAAGUGGAAGGUUGUUCAAAGCGAAGGAAAGCAGCUGCUUAAUGAUUGGUUAUAUGGACUAGUUUUGAUUGGAGAUCGUUAUGCAUCUGGGAAGUAAUAAGUGUGUGCUUUGUUAUCUUUUGAUAUUUGGUGUGGUUAUUAGUUUUGAUUGAAAGAUUUUAGAAGUUAUAUGAAUUGUUUUAUGAGAUUUGGAUGUGUUUGUGGGUUUGGUUUCAAGGCUUUUUAUGGUUCCAAUAUGUAAUUAAGUAGUGUUCACUUUAAUUAUGUAUUAAAUUAUUUAAAUAUUUUUUCUGUGUAAUAAGAAUACUUUGAAAAAAUAAUUUUCAUGUGUGGCUUAUUGUUGAA
Beta vulgaris subsp. vulgaris (sugar beet) is the source of this 978-nucleotide long non-coding RNA. RefSeq lists it as uncharacterized. The record is from RefSeq and is a predicted model, not a curated record. NCBI's taxonomy places the organism in Eukaryota, Viridiplantae, Streptophyta, Magnoliopsida, Caryophyllales, Amaranthaceae. The transcript is spliced from 2 exons.